RNAcentral lists this ribosomal RNA (481 nucleotides) under uncultured bacterium. RNAcentral describes it as "bacterial SSU rRNA". The stretch from base 74 to 481 matches the Rfam family "Bacterial small subunit ribosomal RNA", at positions 1 to 487 of the family's 1533-position model. The record is from RNAcentral.
AGCGGUAAGGCUCCUACAGGUUAUUUGAUCACGGUGACUUCCAAGUCAUCACGGCAAUCCAUCGCGACCCCGGCUAGGGAAGAGAUGGUGCGGGAAGAUCGAGUGGCGUGUUGGAGUACACGAGCGGCGGACGGCUGAGUAACACGUAGGAACGUACCCCAAACUGAGGGAUAAGCACCAGAAAUGGUGUCUAAUACCGCAGGUGGUCUUCGGACUAAACCUUCGGGGCUCAAGGAGUGGCCUGCGUAUGAUUAGCUUGUUGGUGAGGUAAUAGCUCACCAAGGCGAUGAUCAUUAGCAGGUUUGAGAGGAUGAUCAGCCAGACUGGGACUGAGACACGGCCCAGACCCCUACGGGGGGNCAGCAAUUAGGAAUAUUUCGCAAUGGGGGAAACCCUGACGGAGCGACGCCGCGUGUAGGAUGAAGGCCUUCGGGUUGUAAACUACUUUUACUCGGGAGGAUUAUGACAGUACCGAGAGAAU